GGUGGCUCAGUGGUAGAGCCUUGCCUGGCAUGCAUGAGGCCCUGGGUUCGAUUCCUCAGCACCA
This 64-nucleotide transfer RNA is filed under the name Dipodomys ordii (Ord's kangaroo rat). It matches the Rfam family "tRNA". Rfam says of the family: Transfer RNA (tRNA) molecules are approximately 80 nucleotides in length. Their secondary structure includes four short double-helical elements and three loops (D, anti-codon, and T loops). Lineage: Eukaryota; Metazoa; Chordata; Mammalia; Rodentia; Heteromyidae. The record is from Rfam by way of RNAcentral.